This 466-nucleotide ribosomal RNA is filed under the name uncultured bacterium. RNAcentral's name for it is "partial 16S ribosomal RNA". It matches the Rfam family "Bacterial small subunit ribosomal RNA", at positions 29 to 506 of the family's 1533-position model. The record is from RNAcentral.
ACGAACGCUGGCGGCGUGCUUAACACAUGCAAGUCGAACGGAAAGGCCCUGCUUUUGUGGGGUGCUCGAGUGGCGAACGGGUGAGUAACACGUGAGUAACCUGCCCUUGACUUUGGGAUAACUUCAGGAAACUGGGGCUAAUACCGGAUAGGAGCUCCUGCUGCAUGGUGGGGGUUGGAAAGUUUCGGCGGUUGGGGAUGGACUCGCGGCUUAUCAGCUUGUUGGUGGGGUAGUGGCUUACCAAGGCUUUGACGGGUAGCCGGCCUGAGAGGGUGACCGGCCACAUUGGGACUGAGAUACGGCCCAGACUCCUACGGGAGGCAACAGUGGGGAAUAUUGCACAAUGGGCGGAAGCCUGAUGCAGCAACGCCGCGUGCGGGAUGACGGCCUUCGGGUUGUAAACCGCUUUCGCCUGUGACGAAGCGCGAGUGACGGUAAUGGGUAAAGAAGCACCGGCUAACUACGU